UCUACCAGAACCAAGAAGGAGGGCAGGACAAGGGGCAGGCAGCGCCUCUGUAAUGGGGUCCUGGCCAGAGAAGGGGGCUGAGGGGCAAUCGCGGGGCAGCAGGAGCCGCAGGGCCAGGGAAUAGGGCUGCAGAGGAGCCAGUGUCCGAAGGCGCACAAGGACAGGCUUCCCCGUCCUGUGAGGGAUCAGUGCGUGUCCUGGGGCUGGGACACUGUCCCCCGACCUAUGACGGAGGUGCCCUUCGGCCACUGGCUGCAUCCUCCACUGACCUCCAUAGCCCGCAGGCAUUGCCCCUCCUCACCGCUGCCUUGUCUGGCCUCAUCAGUUCUCAGUUGUAAGUUCCUGAGGCCGACUGCCUCUGAGGCCCGAAGAAGCAGGAAGUGCCUGAAUUUCUCAGGGCCCCUAUGCCGUCUAGCUCACUGAGGACCCCGUGGCCAUUUGGUGACCUGGCACCCUGCCAGGAAAUAGCUGCACCCUGACUCAUGAGGGCCUCCUCAGGGCCCAAAGUGGGAACCAGCCAAGUUGCCUGAUCUCGGGGAAGCCGUCAGUCCCAGAGGCCUGACCAUCUUGUGCUCUUUGCCACGUUUGCGGCAGGGCACACGCGUUCUGAAGGAGGACCCCCACGCUACUCUCAGAGCUCCUUCACAAGGGGGUGCCACCUCAUGGGGGGCAGGAUCCGGUCCUGGAGAUCCAGCCAGACCACUGGGGGCCACAUGCUCCGUCCCCACAAGCUCUCCUUGCCCUGGAGGGGGGAAGUUCACAAAACAUGGAGACCACGCUGGCAGGGCCCAGCUCUGCCCGGGCUUCUCAAGGCAAGGGCGACAGCUGGCAGACGAAUUUCCACGGUGCUCUCUGCACGUCAGGCCGCAUGGGAGAAAUUUCCAUACAUUUUCCUCUAAAAUAAAUCCCCUCAGCCACUCUGCAA
Chlorocebus sabaeus (green monkey) is the source of this 925-nucleotide non-coding RNA. The record is from RefSeq and is a predicted model, not a curated record. NCBI's taxonomy places the organism in Eukaryota, Metazoa, Chordata, Mammalia, Primates, Cercopithecidae.